UGGGGAUCUGUGUGGCCGCCUGACCCUCUUCUCCACAUUCUGAGGAAAGAGGACUUAACACGGCUGGCCUUUCAGAGCAGAGGGUCUCCCCCACAGCAGGCCCUCACUGAAGAAGUGCUAAUUCGCAUGGCUUGAUGAGUGGCGUGUACAUCUGCACCCGGGAUCUGAACCCACAAACCCCAGGCCGCUGAAGCAAAGCACGUGAACUUAACCACUAUGCCACCAGACUUCCUGAGUUCCAGCCUUAGCCUCCUGCGAGGUCAACGGACUCAGGGUGAAGAAGCCCCAGUGGAUACAGAGAGCAUAUUCCUGAUUAGGGAGCUUUACAAGCGGCCUGCAAAAGAAAAGGCAAAACUCCCAGCCUCUGUUUCAGAGAAGACAUCUCCGUCCAUCGUUUGGGGCUGAAUAAGCUACCUUCCUGGAUCACUUUUCUGAACAGCCGUGCCUUGGAAGGGGGCCUGAGCUGGACACCAGGGGACCUGGUGCUUUCACAGCCCUGCUGAGGAUUAGCUGUCUGACCUUGGAAAAGUCCUUUAAUCUCUUGGGGCUUCAGUUUCCUCUCCACUUAAUCUCUGAGGAACUUUCCAGUUCAAAAAUUAUUCUAUGACAGCAUUAUGCUUAAAGGAAAAGCAUUCUUGUGGACUUCCAACACAGUCUAUACCAAAACUGAUAUAUAAUAAUGUACACCUGAAAUUACACAAUGUUAUAAACCAAUAUGACCUCAACAAAAUAAAAAAUAAAAUAAAAUUAUAACAAAAAAAUUACUUAAAUACACAAACUUAGAACUAGAUAUAAACUCCUCAUGCAAAUAAUUUUAGAGAUUUGAAACAAGC
Long non-coding RNA from Equus caballus (horse), 833 nucleotides. NCBI's taxonomy places the organism in Eukaryota, Metazoa, Chordata, Mammalia, Perissodactyla, Equidae. The record is from Ensembl.